RNAcentral lists this ribosomal RNA (311 nucleotides) under uncultured eukaryote. RNAcentral describes it as "partial 18S ribosomal RNA". It matches the Rfam family "Eukaryotic small subunit ribosomal RNA", at positions 1470 to 1796 of the family's 1831-position model. The record is from RNAcentral.
CCCCUAGACGUUCUGGGCUGCACGCGCGCUACAAUAAUACGCACAGCGAGUAUCACCGAGCUCGAAAGGGCAAGGUAAACAAUAGAAAAGGUACUGUAAUGGUUAUAGAUCCUUGUAAUUAUUGAUCUUCAACGAGGAAUUCCUAGUAAGUAUGUGUCAUCAUCACGCACUGAUUACGUCCCUGCCCUUUGUACACACCGCCCGCCGCCCCUACCGAUUGGGUGAGCCGAUGAAACUCUCGGAUGUAGGCUAUUCAUAGCCCGCAGAAGAGAUUUGAAUCGUAGCGCUUAGAGGAAGGAGAAGUCGUAACA